AGGGAGCCUAAGAAACGGCUACCACAUCCAAGGAAG
This 36-nucleotide ribosomal RNA is filed under the name Nicotiana attenuata. RNAcentral's name for it is "rRNA SSU_rRNA_eukarya". RNAcentral also lists the same sequence under 1 other name. Lineage: Eukaryota; Viridiplantae; Streptophyta; Magnoliopsida; Solanales; Solanaceae. The record is from RNAcentral.